Molecule: long non-coding RNA, 208 nt
Filed under: Mytilus galloprovincialis (Mediterranean mussel)
Lineage: Eukaryota; Metazoa; Mollusca; Bivalvia; Mytilida; Mytilidae
Source: RNAcentral
AAAGUAGAAUGCUUCUGCUACAUGAAUAUGGGCUGUUUUUGACAAUACAAUGCACAUAUAUCGGGUAAUAGCAUCAUUAAGUCAUGCUAAAUUACUGAAAUCUUCACAAUUUGAGCAUUUUAGUUAAGUUUUAGAUGGUUUCCGUCUAAAAUGAAAGUGGCCGCAUUCGUGUUCAUUCAUAAUAUUGAAAUUUAAGUUGUAUUUGAUA